GGGGCCUUAGCUCAGUUGGUAGAGCGCUGCCUUUGCAAGGCAGAUGUCAGGAGUUCGGCCUUU
This 63-nucleotide transfer RNA is filed under the name Mycolicibacterium peregrinum. Its description in RNAcentral is "tRNA-Ala". It matches the Rfam family "tRNA", at positions 1 to 62 of the family's 71-position model. Rfam says of the family: Transfer RNA (tRNA) molecules are approximately 80 nucleotides in length. Their secondary structure includes four short double-helical elements and three loops (D, anti-codon, and T loops). Lineage: Bacteria; Bacillati; Actinomycetota; Actinomycetes; Mycobacteriales; Mycobacteriaceae. The record is from RNAcentral.